Ornithodoros turicata is the source of this 772-nucleotide long non-coding RNA. RefSeq lists it as uncharacterized. The record is from RefSeq and is a predicted model, not a curated record. NCBI's taxonomy places the organism in Eukaryota, Metazoa, Arthropoda, Arachnida, Ixodida, Argasidae. The transcript has 5 exons.
UUCACGUGUUUUAUACGCCGGCUUCGCGCCUGUUGACACGCGAGACCACUUUCGAGGCGGUAAUCUGAAGAAAGGGCACCUUCUUCAGAAGGCGAAACAUGUGAAAUGCGUUCGCGAAGAUGUUUUCACGGACGGGACGUCAAAGAUAAGUGCGCAGUGCCUUGCCCAAACGAGCACACGCACGUACAACGUAACUGUUCAGCUUCAGUCACCUAGACCACGUGCAAUUCUCGAAGCACAUUGUACUUGUAAGGGAGGUGUGGCUGGCCGUUGUAAACAUGUAGCCGCCGUUGUUACUGCCAUAAACAACCCCGAAGACGACUCCUGCACUAGUGUGCCCCAAGCGUGGGGCAGGCCUGGAAGUCAAGCGUCAGGCAGCUACGUCCGGCUUCCUUUCGAAGAGCUUUAUCCAAGUGGUUCCAGGAAAGGGCAUUACGUCUAACAAGCACAGAGUGCCACAGAGUCAGAACAAGGGUAGCAGACUUCGAAAAACUUGCUGAAGCACUGAAAACCACCAGGCCACUGAGAACAGCGGCCACAGCAUACGGCACGCAGAUGGAGGGAGUUGCUGCAAAGGAGUUCCAGAGGAAGUUCCCAACAAUAGUGUAUCAGGCUGGGCUCUUGGUGCACCCUGAACAAAGAUGGCUAUGUGCAAGCCCGGAUGGGGUAGUGCGGCUGGCUGAUGGCCUUUAUUUGCUUGAAAUCAAAUGCCCAUUUGGCCGGAAAGGACAGCCAAUCAUUGAUUGCAAAUCUGAAACAAGCUACGUUCAGU